AGCAAGGUAAGCUAAAUUAAGCUUUUGGGCCCAUACCCCAAAAAUGUAGGUUAAAUCCCUUCCCUUACUA
RNAcentral lists this transfer RNA (70 nucleotides) under Lebiasina multimaculata. RNAcentral's name for it is "tRNA-Met". It matches the Rfam family "tRNA". Rfam says of the family: Transfer RNA (tRNA) molecules are approximately 80 nucleotides in length. Their secondary structure includes four short double-helical elements and three loops (D, anti-codon, and T loops). RNAcentral also lists the same sequence under 1 other name. The record is from RNAcentral. Lineage: Eukaryota; Metazoa; Chordata; Actinopteri; Characiformes; Lebiasinidae.